UCCCUGGUGGCUCAGAUGGUAAAGAACCUGCCUGCAAUGCAGGAAACCUGGGUUUGAUCCCUGGGUUGGGAA
Molecule: transfer RNA, 72 nt
Filed under: Ovis aries (sheep)
Lineage: Eukaryota; Metazoa; Chordata; Mammalia; Artiodactyla; Bovidae
Rfam family: tRNA
About the family: Transfer RNA (tRNA) molecules are approximately 80 nucleotides in length. Their secondary structure includes four short double-helical elements and three loops (D, anti-codon, and T loops). Further hydrogen bonds mediate the characteristic L-shaped molecular structure. tRNAs have two regions of fundamental functional importance: the anti-codon, which is responsible for specific mRNA codon recognition, and the 3' end, to which the tRNAs corresponding amino acid is attached (by aminoacyl-tRNA synthetases). tRNAs cope with the degeneracy of the genetic code in two manners: having more than one tRNA (with a specific anti-codon) for a particular amino acid; and 'wobble' base-pairing, i.e. permitting non-standard base-pairing at the 3rd anti-codon position.
Source: Rfam by way of RNAcentral